This 530-nucleotide ribosomal RNA is filed under the name Alteromonas sp. RNAcentral's name for it is "bacterial SSU rRNA". It matches the Rfam family "Bacterial small subunit ribosomal RNA", at positions 381 to 903 of the family's 1533-position model. The record is from RNAcentral. Lineage: Bacteria; Pseudomonadati; Pseudomonadota; Gammaproteobacteria; Alteromonadales; Alteromonadaceae.
ACCUGAUGCAGCCAUGCCGCGUGUGUGAAGAAGGCCUUCGGGUUGUAAAGCACUUUCAGUUGUGAGGAAAAGUUAGUAGUUAAUACCUGCUAGCCGUGACGUUAACAACAGAAGAAGCACCGGCUAACUCCGUGCCAGCAGCCGCGGUAAUACGGAGGGUGCGAGCGUUAAUCGGAAUUACUGGGCGUAAAGCGCACGCAGGCGGUUUGUUAAGCUAGAUGUGAAAGCCCCGGGCUCAACCUGGGAUGGUCAUUUAGAACUGGCAGACUAGAGUCUUGGAGAGGGGAGUGGAAUUCCAGGUGUAGCGGUGAAAUGCGUAGAUAUCUGGAGGAACAUCAGUGGCGAAGGCGACUCCCUGGCCAAAGACUGACGCUCAUGUGCGAAAGUGUGGGUAGCGAACAGGAUUAGAUACCCUGGUAGUCCACACCGUAAACGCUGUCUACUAGCUGUUUGUGACUUUAAGUCGUGAGUAGCGAAGCUAACGCGAUAAGUAGACCGCCUGGGGAGUACGGCCGCAAGGUUAAAACUCA